AGGGUGCAAGCGUUAUCGGAAUACUGGGCGUAAAGCGUGCGCAGGCGGUUUUGUAAGUCUGUCGUGAAAGCCCCGGGCUCAACCUGGGAAUUGCGAUGGAGACUGCAAGGCUUGAAUCUGGCAGACGGGGGUAGAAUUCCACGUGUAUCAGUGAAAUGCGUAGAGAUGUGGAGGAACACCGAUGGCGAAAGCAGCCCCCUGGAGUCAAGAUUGACGCUCAUGCACGAAAGCGUGGGGAGCAAACAGGAUUAGAUACCCUGGU
Molecule: ribosomal RNA, 262 nt
Filed under: uncultured Burkholderiales bacterium
Lineage: Bacteria; Pseudomonadati; Pseudomonadota; Betaproteobacteria; Burkholderiales
Description: partial 16S ribosomal RNA
Rfam family: Bacterial small subunit ribosomal RNA
Source: RNAcentral